Molecule: long non-coding RNA, 285 nt
Organism: Peromyscus leucopus (white-footed mouse)
Lineage: Eukaryota; Metazoa; Chordata; Mammalia; Rodentia; Cricetidae
Exons: 2
Source: RefSeq, a predicted model, not a curated record
GCACUACUGCACACAGCACCGGCUAUCGGGCUCUGAGGCAGUUCUAUGAUAUGAUCAAGUGCAUCAUCCCUGGGAAUGAUCCUUUGGCGGACUUAAAAUACUAUGGCUUCUACUGUACCUUCUGGCGUUCACAAUUUGUGGAGAAUGAGUUAGAAACGUGCUGCCAGACUUUUCAAGAUUGUUACAUUCAGGUCAGGAAGAUGGAAACCUGCAAGUCCCUCAGAAACACCGGCUACAGCAGCUCCUACUCAUUCUCAUGUUCUGGGAAUGAGAUUACCUGCAGUG